GACGAACGCUGGCGGCGUGCUUAACACAUGCAAGUCGAACGGCAAGGCCGUACUUUCGUGCUGUGAUGGAGUGGGGAACGGGUGAGGAACACGUGUGUAACCUGCCCUAGACUUUGGGAUAACUUAAGGAAACUAGGGUUAAUAUCGGACCGCAGCCCCCGUAGGAUGGAGGGGGUUGGAUCGUCGAGGCGGUCGGGGCUGGAUGAGCGGCUUAUCAGUUAGUUGGUGGGGUAGUGGCAUACCAAGGCAUUGACGGGUAGCCGGCCUGGGAGGGUGACCGGCGUCAAUACGACUGAGAGAGGGCGCAGACGCCAACGGUAGGCAGCGGUGGGGAAUAUUACACAACGAGCGGGAGCCUGAUGCAGCAGCGCCGCGUGCGGAAAGACGGCCUUCGGGGUAUGAACCGCUUUCGCCUGUGACGAAGCGUGAGUGACGGUACCGAAUGAAGAAGCACCGGCUAACUACGUG
RNAcentral lists this ribosomal RNA (468 nucleotides) under uncultured bacterium. RNAcentral's name for it is "partial 16S ribosomal RNA". It matches the Rfam family "Bacterial small subunit ribosomal RNA", at positions 28 to 507 of the family's 1533-position model. The record is from RNAcentral.